Molecule: ribosomal RNA, 235 nt
Filed under: uncultured Actinomycetales bacterium
Lineage: Bacteria; Bacillati; Actinomycetota; Actinomycetes; Actinomycetales
Description: partial 16S ribosomal RNA
Rfam family: Bacterial small subunit ribosomal RNA
Source: RNAcentral
UGGCGAACGGGUGAGUAACACGUGGGUGAUCUGCCUUGCACUCUGGGAUAAGCUUGGGAAACUGGGUCUAAUACCGGAUAGGACAGCUGUUUAGUGUCAGUUGUGGAAAGUUUUUUCGGUGCAAGAUGAGCUCGCGGCCUAUCAGCUUGUUGGUGGGGUAAUGGCCUACCAAGGCGUCGACGGGUAGCCGGCCUGAGAGGGUGGACGGCCACAUUGGGACUGAGAUACGGCCCAG